UUAAGAGCUAUCCCAGCCAGUUUAUAGAGGCACAGACACAUUCUGGACCACAUACUGGGGAAAAAAGUCUCCAGUUUUGUGCACUCCCAGUCACUGGGGAGAGAGAGAGACAGGAAAAGUCUCAGAUGGGAUGGCAUGGAUAUAAUAAUGCAGUACUCUAACAUGCUGUCUUUCAUUCAAGUGCCUUAAAGUCUUUUAUAAACACCAGUUGCAAGUAGGUAAGGAUCAUUAUCUCAUUUUAUAGGUGGGUCAGCUGAGAAGCAGAUGCUAGGACCAAAGAAAUGGACUGACAUCCACACUUGGGAAAAAGUCUCCUAGGAUCCAUCUCCCAUGCCCAGAUUGAAAAGUACUAUAUUUUCUUGCAGACAAGGUUCUUUAGGUGAAUAUAUCUUGCAUAUAUAUAAUGCAGCCGGGAAUACAAUACACACCUUGGUUUUGAAAGGUAGAUUGGAGUAACGGAUAAAACCUUUCCUUAAGGUAAGUAGCUGAGUAUCAGCAGCAGGGAGCUGAGCAUGCCUUUCUUCAGCUCCCCGUGGAUUGCUGCAGAUUUUACUUAUGGUUUUACCCAGUAAAUGACAGAACCUGCUCUUGCCAUAUUUCUCACAUAUAAAGCAAACCUAUAUUUCCAGAAGCGAUUUGUGAAGGAAGGGGGUGCAUUUUGUAUGCAAGAAAAUACAGUACUGUCGAGCAGAUGGUCACUAAGGAGAUUUUAAGCAAACAAGCACUACCCCAAACCAAUAGACAGAUCCCUUUUGGAAGCGUUUUGAGCAAAGGUUCAGCACAGCGAUAUUUCACGGUGCUGUUACUCUGCAGAGUUGAUCUGGUUGCAGUUCAGUCUCUGGUACAAUAGUUACCCAGCCUGUUCAAGUGAAAUUCAUAAUAAGUCUGUGGCUAGCUCUUUCUUUGAUAAUUUCUAUCCCCUCCAUUUGUUUAUCUCAAGGGCUGAGCUUUGUUCCAGGCUCAAAACCAAAAGUCUUCCUCCCCUGUUCUCUCCUUGACUUGUUGCAGUUGUAAGGAAAUAAAUCUUUUUCCCUUCCUCUCUGCUGUUUCAUGCAAUCGCAAACCCCAAGGAAGAAAAAUAGAUCGCAUGCUUAGCUCACCAAAUCGUGGAUAAUACCACGUUUACUUUUGCAGUCCGCCGUUCAAAUGAAAAUGUGUCCAUUCCCCUGGAAGUGUCUUGACUAGCAUCGACAUCUUAACCAAGAGCAUCAGUGCAUGAUCCCCAAUUCUGAAAUUCAGACUAGUCCUAGGAAAACGGACCAACAAAACCCAUUCCCUCGAGCCAGAAUCAACUUCAGCUUAGAUCAACCAGAUCCCCAGCUGACAUAAACUGACUACAUCCAUCAGCUGAGCAUCUGCCCUUCGGGUUCUUCACCCCUGGGAAUAAAUUAAGGAGAAAACACAUGGAGGACUAUGGAGGCACGAGUUGCAUUCAUCUUGUGGAUUAGUUGUUUCAUUCCAGCUCUUCACUCAGGAGGGAUGAACUGGAGCUUUUUUUUUUUUCUUGUUUAAGUGGUAUUUGCACAUUCUAAGCAAUUUUGACAGUUACUAUUGAGGAAAGUGUAAUUAGAUGCUUUGAAAACUGGAAGAAAUUAACUCUGACCACAGACCAUCAGUCAGAUUAUUAUUUAAUAAUACUUCCCAAAUGUGCAAAGUACUUAGUUUUAGAAUAACAGGAAAAAAAGAAUAACUUUCUACUGAGGGCUAAAAUGUUGCCCAGAAGAAACAUGAAUCAUCAGUGUCCUUCCUUCCAAGGGCGAUAAAGGAAGCGACCAGUUUCUCCCACUUUGCCCAUUUCACGGGGCUUGGCAUCAGGAGGCAAUCCACUCCACCCUUCCGCCCAGGCCGAUAACGAGCCUUGCUGCUAUUAGCGCUGCUAAAGAGACACAGACGGUGCCUCUUUGCUCGGAAAUUUGUCAUGAACCUUAAAUCUCGUCUCGCUUUCACGGCUGGAAAGCAGUUAACGGUAAGAAGCAGGCCCGAGGUGCCAGACCUGGGUAACAGAAGAGGUCCUGCCGUUUCCAACAUGCCACGGAAACCACUAAGAAAUUGCUGUUUUCCUUCUUCUACAGCACCGGCCAGGCUUGUUGACUCACUUGUAGCUACAGGAGGCCUGGCUAGAAAGAGAUCAUUGUGAUUCCUCUCUGUUUCUUUCCUCACUACAAAAGAGUCCAUUCAUAGGGGCUAAUUUUGAAAGGAGGGCAAGGGAUAUCGCUCCCAUGAACUGGAUCUGAACACUUCAACCACAAUUUAGGAGGCCAGAGCCAGGCCUCUGAGGCCCUGUUCAACCUGGUGAAAGACUUUUUUUUUUAAUUGAAUGGAAGCAUGGAUUUGAUUCUGAACAGAAAGGAUCUUUCCUGACACAUUUCAAAAUGGUUAGGAUGCCAAAGCAUGUCUUUGGAGCGAGAGCUCGGGCCUAUGAAAACAGGAACAAAACGAUAUUAUUCUCCAGGCCAAUGGGCAUUCGCAUUUCACUCGGGGGUGAGCAAAAUUACCGUGCCUCUGAAAUGGCGAGACGCUGACUUCUUUCCAAGAUUGCAAGAAGAUGGGCCCUUUCUUUCUUUCUUUCUUUCAAAAAAAAAAAAGAAAAAAUGAAUACGUGAUCCCUGAUUCAUAUAACCGCUAGUCUUUGUGGAGCACAACUGGGAAUGUCUGUGUGUGGGAAGAUCUACAAUGUAAUUGCUUUCAGCAGAAUAUCACUGCACUAUGUAAUUAAAAUAUAAGAGGUUGCCAGUUUCAAAAA
Molecule: long non-coding RNA, 2743 nt
Organism: Alligator mississippiensis (American alligator)
Lineage: Eukaryota; Metazoa; Chordata; Crocodylia; Alligatoridae
Exons: 2
Source: RefSeq, a predicted model, not a curated record